AUAGGUUUUAACUUUUAACAUUACGCCGUCUAAUAUUUUUUUCCUCGUUGUUUUCCUUUU
RNAcentral lists this small RNA (60 nucleotides) under Arabidopsis thaliana (thale cress). Its description in RNAcentral is "ATSL160380". The record is from RNAcentral. Lineage: Eukaryota; Viridiplantae; Streptophyta; Magnoliopsida; Brassicales; Brassicaceae.